This 66-nucleotide transfer RNA is filed under the name Berthellina sp. TLT-2006. RNAcentral describes it as "tRNA-Ala". Lineage: Eukaryota; Metazoa; Mollusca; Gastropoda; Pleurobranchida; Pleurobranchidae. The record is from RNAcentral.
GUUACUGUACUUUAAUUUAGAAGAUUUGGUUUGCAACUAAAAAGUGAAUAAGUAGUUCCAGUACCA